UACAGAGGCCAAGAGCGUUGUUCGGAAUCACUGGGCGUAAAGGGAGCGUAGGCGGGACGUCAAGCGCGGAGUCUAAUGCCGGGGCCCAACCCCGGCGCUGCUUUGCGAACUGGCGUUCUUGGAUGUGCGAUGGGUCGGCGGAAUUCCUGGUGUAGCGGUGGAAUGCGUAGAUAUCAGGAAGAACACCGGUGGCGAAGGCGGCCGGCUGGCGCCACAUCGACGCUGAGGCUCGAAAGCGUGGGGAGCGAAC
Molecule: ribosomal RNA, 250 nt
Filed under: uncultured prokaryote
Description: partial 16S ribosomal RNA
Rfam family: Bacterial small subunit ribosomal RNA
Source: RNAcentral